GGCUGGUUUCCGUAUGUGAACCUGCGGAAGGAUCAUUG
Molecule: ribosomal RNA, 38 nt
Filed under: Hypericum perforatum
Lineage: Eukaryota; Viridiplantae; Streptophyta; Magnoliopsida; Malpighiales; Hypericaceae
Description: partial 18S ribosomal RNA
Source: RNAcentral